Molecule: ribosomal RNA, 529 nt
Filed under: bacterium het-w-29
Lineage: Bacteria
Description: bacterial SSU rRNA
Rfam family: Bacterial small subunit ribosomal RNA
Source: RNAcentral
CACAUGCAGUCGAGCGGUAGAGAGGUGCUUGCCUCUNUGGAGAGCGGCGGACGGGUGAGUAUAUAGCCUAGGAAUCUGCCUGAUAGUGGGGGAUAACGUUCGGAAACGGACGCUAAUACCGCAUACGUCCUACGGGAGAAAGCAGGGGACCUUCGGGCCUUGCGCUAUCAGAUGAGCCUAGGUCGGAUUAGCUAGUUGGUGAGGUAAUGGCUCACCAAGGCUACGAUCCGUAACUGGUCUGAGAGGAUGAUCAGUCACACUGGAACUGAGACACGGUCCAGACUCCUACGGGAGGCAGCAGUGGGGAAUAUUGGACAAUGGGCGAAACGUGAUCCAGCCAUGCCGCGUGUGUGAAGAAGGUCUUCGGAUUGUAAAGCACUUUAAGUUGGGAGGAGGGCAGUUACUUAAUACGUGAUUGUCUUGACGUUACCGACAGAAUAAGCCCCGGCUAACUCUGUGCCAGCAGCCGCGGUAAUACAGAGGGUGCAAGCGUUAAUCGGAAUUACUGGGCGUAAAGCGCGCGUAGGUG